Molecule: ribosomal RNA, 440 nt
Filed under: uncultured bacterium
Lineage: Bacteria
Description: partial 16S ribosomal RNA
Rfam family: Bacterial small subunit ribosomal RNA
Source: RNAcentral
CCUACGGGGGGCAGCAGUGGGGAAUAUUGCACAAUGGGGGGAACCCUGAUGCAGCGACGCCGCGUGAGUGAAGAAGUAUUUCGGUAUGUAAAGCUCUAUCAGCAGGGAAGAAAAUGACGGUACCUGACUAAGAAGCCCCGGCUAACUACGUGCCAGCAGCCGCGGUAAUACGUAGGGGGCAAGCGUUAUCCGGAUUUACUGGGUGUAAAGGGAGCGUAGACGGUUAUGCAAGUCUGAAGUGAAAGCCCAAGGCUCAACCAUGGGACUGCUUUGGAAACUGUAAAACUGGAGUGCAGGAGAGGUAAGCGGAAUUCCUAGUGUAGCGGUGAAAUGCGUAGAUAUUAGGAGGAACACCAGUGGCGAAGGCGGCAUACCGGCGCUCAACUGACGCUGAGGCACGAAAGCGUGGGGAUCGAACAGGAUUAGAUACCCGUGUAGUC